AUGCCUAAGAAGGAUUUCAGUAUUGGUGGUGGUCAUCCCUCAUAUGCUCCAUUCAUGGCACCACAUCCAUCAAUGGCCAAAAGCAGCCCUCCCCCUUCUGAUGGCAUGAUUGCUGAUAAUGUUGAAGUCUAUAGGACUGAUAAGUGUUUACCAUGGACAAAAGAAGAGGACAAAAGACUGUUCAGUGCAUGGUUGAACAACUCAAAUGAUCCCAUAGCUGGAAAUUGCAAGAAAGCCGACCGAUACUGGCAAGAUGUCACUGCUACAUACAACAACAUCACUCCAAAAAAUAGAAAAAGAGAAAUGAACCAACUAAAGGAUCGUUUUCAUCGAGUUAACAAAAAAGUUGGUUGGUUUGCUGCAUCUUGGCAAAAGGCUACUGGAAUUUAUGCUAGCGGACAAUCAGAUUUACAGUUGCAGGAGAAAGCUUUGAAGUUCUAUGAGGAAGACUACAAAGAUGGACAAUUCAAAUACAUGCACUGUUGGAAGGCUGUUGAAGGUUGGCCAAAAUGGGAGACAUACAUGCAGAUGCUUAAGAAGUUGAAGAAAAGAAAGGUUUCAGAGGUUGUGGAACCAUUAGAGGACAUGGAAUCAGAUGAAGAUCCACGUCCACCAGGGAACAAGACUGCUAAGACUGAACAGAAGAACAAGGCCAAAGGCAAAGAGAAGACGUUGAUUGGAAUAGUAAUUGAUGAGAUGGAGGAAAAGCUCGACAAGUUUAUGGCUGCUCAGGCUGAAGCUAACAAGGGUCAGAAUGAUAUGGUUGAAGUGGCAAGGCUCAAUGCUAUUGCAACUAAGGAGAAAAAAGAGGCAAAAAUGUUGGAUACGUUCAAGUGGCUCUUUUCACAAGACACAACAAGUAUGUCGGACGAGAUGAAAGCCGAGCAUAUGAAAGCUGUGAAUUCUAUGUCUGAGAAGUUAUUUGGCCAAUCGGACUGA
RNAcentral lists this ribosomal RNA (939 nucleotides) under Triticum aestivum (bread wheat). RNAcentral describes it as "partial small subunit ribosomal RNA". The record is from RNAcentral. Lineage: Eukaryota; Viridiplantae; Streptophyta; Magnoliopsida; Poales; Poaceae.